Molecule: ribosomal RNA, 258 nt
Filed under: uncultured bacterium
Lineage: Bacteria
Description: partial 16S ribosomal RNA
Rfam family: Bacterial small subunit ribosomal RNA
Source: RNAcentral
GACGAGGGAUCCUAGCGUUGUUCGGAAUCAUUGGGCGUAAAGCGGAUGUAGGUGGCUUUGUAAGUCAGAUGUGAAAGCCCCGGGCUCAACCCGGGGAAGUGCAUUUGAUACUGCGAAGCUUGAGUGCUAGAGAGGUUACUAGAAUCCUGGUGUAGUGGUGAAAUACGUAGAUAUCAGGUGGAAUACCGGGAGGCGAAGGCGGGGUAACCAGCUAGACACUGACACUCAGAUCCGAAAGUGUGGGGGAUCAAAACAGGG